This is a non-coding RNA of Podarcis lilfordi (Lilford's wall lizard), 77 nucleotides long. Lineage: Eukaryota; Metazoa; Chordata; Lepidosauria; Squamata; Lacertidae. The record is from the annotation of a GenBank genome assembly.
GGAGAAGAGCCAUGUGUCAGUGGUAGAACACAUGCUUUGCAUGUAGAAGAUCCCAGGUUCAAAUCCUGGCAUCUCCA